This 443-nucleotide ribosomal RNA is filed under the name Salmonella enterica. RNAcentral's name for it is "bacterial SSU rRNA". It matches the Rfam family "Bacterial small subunit ribosomal RNA", at positions 1 to 440 of the family's 1533-position model. Lineage: Bacteria; Pseudomonadati; Pseudomonadota; Gammaproteobacteria; Enterobacterales; Enterobacteriaceae. RNAcentral also lists the same sequence under 1 other name. The record is from RNAcentral.
AAAUUGAAGAGUUUGAUCAUGGCUCAGAUUGAACGCUGGCGGCAGGCCUAACACAUGCAAGUCGAACGGUAACAGGAAGCAGCUUGCUGCUUUGCUGACGAGUGGCGGACGGGUGAGUAAUGUCUGGGAAACUGCCUGAUGGAGGGGGAUAACUACUGGAAACGGUGGCUAAUACCGCAUAACGUCGCAAGACCAAAGAGGGGGACCUUCGGGCCUCUUGCCAUCAGAUGUGCCCAGAUGGGAUUAGCUAGUUGGUGAGGUAACGGCUCACCAAGGCGACGAUCCCUAGCUGGUCUGAGAGGAUGACCAGCCACACUGGAACUGAGACACGGUCCAGACUCCUACGGGAGGCAGCAGUGGGGAAUAUUGCACAAUGGGCGCAAGCCUGAUGCAGCCAUGCCGCGUGUAUGAAGAAGGCCUUCGGGUUGUAAAGUACUUUCAGC